AGAGUUUGAUCCUGGCUCAGAACGAACGCUGGCGGCAUGCCUAACACAUGCAAGUCGAACGCGGGGCUUCGGCCCCGAGUGGCGCACGGGUGAGUAGCGCGUGGGAACCUGCCCUUCAGUGGGGGAUAACCGAGGGAAACUUCGGCUAAUACCGCAUGCGCCCGGAGCAAUCCGGGGAAAGAUUUAUCGCUGAAGGAGGGGCCCGCGUCGGAUUAGCUAGUUGGUAGGGUAACGGCCUACCAAGGCUUUGAUCCGUAGCUGGUCUGAGAGGAUGAUCAGCCACACUGGGACUGAGACACGGCCCAGACUCCUACGGGAGGCAGCAGUGGGGAAUAUUGGACAAUGGGCGAAAGCCUGAUCCAGCAAUGCCGCGUGAGUGAGGAAGGCCUUAGGGUUGUAAAGCUCUUUCGGCGGGGACGAUGAUGACGGUACCCGCAGAAGAAGCCCCGGCUAACUUCGUGCCAGCAGCCGCGGUAAUACGAAGGGGGCGAGCGUUGUUCGGAUUUACUGGGCGUAAAGGGCGCGCAGGCGGUCAUUUUUGUCGAGUGUGAAAGCCCCGGGCUUAACCUGGGAACUGCGCUCGAAACGGGAUGACUAGAGAUCGGGAGAGGAGAGUGGAAUUCCCAGUGUAGAGGUGAAAUUCGUAGAUAUUGGGAAGAACACCGGUGGCGAAGGCGGCUCUCUGGACCGAUACUGACGCUGAGGCGCGAAAGCGUGGGGAGCAAACAGGAUUAGAUACCCUAGUAGUCC
This 750-nucleotide ribosomal RNA is filed under the name uncultured bacterium. RNAcentral's name for it is "bacterial SSU rRNA". It matches the Rfam family "Bacterial small subunit ribosomal RNA", at positions 8 to 796 of the family's 1533-position model. The record is from RNAcentral.